This is a non-coding RNA of Cronobacter sp., 157 nucleotides long. The record is from Rfam. Lineage: Bacteria; Pseudomonadati; Pseudomonadota; Gammaproteobacteria; Enterobacterales; Enterobacteriaceae.
CCGAGGCUUGAUUCAUGAUUCGCACGACUCGUCUGGCAGCGCUACUACUACUAAACGCAUUUACUGUGCGCGGUAGAGUGCUGGGCGACGGUUGCCACUGAGUGACAUCAAGCCAUCAGCAAAAUACAGAAACCCGCGCCAAUGCGCGGGUUUUUUU